UGGGGAAUUUUGGACAAUGGGCGAAAGCCUGAUCCAGCAAUGCCGCGUGUGUGAAGAAGGCCUUCGGGUUGUAAAGCACUUUGUCCGGAAAGAAAUCCUUGGCUCUAAUACAGUCGGGGGAUGACGGUACCGGAAGAAUAAGCACCGGCUAACUACGUGCCAGCAGCCGCGGUAAUACGUAGGGUGCAAGCGUUAAUCGGAAUUACUGGGCGUAAAGCGUGCGCAGGCGGUUUGCUAAGACCGAUGUGAAAUCCCCGGGCUCAACCUGGGAACUGCAUUGGUGACUGGCAGGCUAGAGUAUGGCAGAGGGGGGUAGAAUUCCACGUGUAGCAGUGAAAUGCGUAGAGAUGUGGAGGAAUACCGAUGGCGAAGGCAGCCCCCUGGGCCAAUACUGACGCUCAUGCACGAAAGCGUGGGGAGCAAACAGGAUUCAGAUACCCUGGUAGUCCACGCCCUAAACGAUGUCAACUAGUUGUUGGGGAUUCAUUUCCUUAGUAACGUAGCUAACGCGUGAAGUUGACCGCCUGGGGAGUACGGUCGCAAGAUUAAAACUCAAAUGAAUUGACGGGGUCAUAGCUGUUUCCU
This 585-nucleotide ribosomal RNA is filed under the name uncultured bacterium. RNAcentral's name for it is "partial 16S ribosomal RNA". It matches the Rfam family "Bacterial small subunit ribosomal RNA", at positions 355 to 1375 of the family's 1533-position model. The record is from RNAcentral.